Molecule: ribosomal RNA, 254 nt
Filed under: uncultured bacterium
Lineage: Bacteria
Description: partial 16S ribosomal RNA
Rfam family: Bacterial small subunit ribosomal RNA
Source: RNAcentral
UACGUAGGGUGCAAGCGUUUGUCCGGAAUUAUUGGGCGUAAAGAGCUCGUAGGCGGCUUGUCGCGUCGGCUGUGAAAACCUGGGGCUCAACCCCGGGCCUGCAGCCGAUACGGGCAAGCUAGAAUUCGGUAGGGGAGACUGGAAUUCCUGGUGUAGCGGUGAAAUGCGCAGAUAUCAGGAAGAACACCAAUGGCGAAGGCAGCUCUCUGGGACGGUACUGACGCUGAGACGCGAAAGCGUGGGGAGCGAACAGG